RNAcentral lists this ribosomal RNA (2930 nucleotides) under Escherichia coli. RNAcentral describes it as "bacterial LSU rRNA". It matches the Rfam family "Bacterial large subunit ribosomal RNA". The record is from RNAcentral. Lineage: Bacteria; Pseudomonadati; Pseudomonadota; Gammaproteobacteria; Enterobacterales; Enterobacteriaceae.
GGGUUGUGAGGUUAAGCGACUAAGCGUACACGGUGGAUGCCCUGGCAGUCAGAGGCGAUGAAGGACGUGCUAAUCUGCGAUAAGCGUCGGUAAGGUGAUAUGAACCGUUAUAACCGGCGAUUUCCGAAUGGGGAAACCCAGUGUGUUUCGACACACUAUCAUUAACUGAAUCCAUAGGUUAAUGAGGCGAACCGGGGGAACUGAAACAUCUAAGUACCCCGAGGAAAAGAAAUCAACCGAGAUUCCCCCAGUAGCGGCGAGCGAACGGGGAGCAGCCCAGAGCCUGAAUCAGUGUGUGUGUUAGUGGAAGCGUCUGGAAAGGCGCGCGAUACAGGGUGACAGCCCCGUACACAAAAAUGCACAUACUGUGAGCUCGAUGAGUAGGGCGGGACACGUGGUAUCCUGUCUGAAUAUGGGGGGACCAUCCUCCAAGGCUAAAUACUCCUGACUGACCGAUAGUGAACCAGUACCGUGAGGGAAAGGCGAAAAGAACCCCGGCGAGGGGAGUGAAAAAGAACCUGAAACCGUGUACGUACAAGCAGUGGGAGCCUCUUUAUGGGGUGACUGCGUACCUUUUGUAUAAUGGGUCAGCGACUUAUAUUCUGUAGCAAGGUUAACCGAAUAGGGGAGCCGAAGGGAAACCGAGUCUUAACUGGGCGUUAAGUUGCAGGGUAUAGACCCGAAACCCGGUGAUCUAGCCAUGGGCAGGUUGAAGGUUGGGUAACACUAACUGGAGGACCGAACCGACUAAUGUUGAAAAAUUAGCGGAUGACUUGUGGCUGGGGGUGAAAGGCCAAUCAAACCGGGAGAUAGCUGGUUCUCCCCGAAAGCUAUUUAGGUAGCGCCUCGUGAAUUCAUCUCCGGGGGUAGAGCACUGUUUCGGCAAGGGGGUCAUCCCGACUUACCAACCCGAUGCAAACUGCGAAUACCGGAGAAUGUUAUCACGGGAGACACACGGCGGGUGCUAACGUCCGUCGUGAAGAGGGAAACAACCCAGACCGCCAGCUAAGGUCCCAAAGUCAUGGUUAAGUGGGAAACGAUGUGGGAAGGCCCAGACAGCCAGGAUGUUGGCUUAGAAGCAGCCAUCAUUUAAAGAAAGCGUAAUAGCUCACUGGUCGAGUCGGCCUGCGCGGAAGAUGUAACGGGGCUAAACCAUGCACCGAAGCUGCGGCAGCGACACUAUGUGUUGUUGGGUAGGGGAGCGUUCUGUAAGCCUGUGAAGGUGUACUGUGAGGUAUGCUGGAGGUAUCAGAAGUGCGAAUGCUGACAUAAGUAACGAUAAAGCGGGUGAAAAGCCCGCUCGCCGGAAGACCAAGGGUUCCUGUCCAACGUUAAUCGGGGCAGGGUGAGUCGACCCCUAAGGCGAGGCCGAAAGGCGUAGUCGAUGGGAAACAGGUUAAUAUUCCUGUACUUGGUGUUACUGCGAAGGGGGGACGGAGAAGGCUAUGUUGGCCGGGCGACGGUUGUCCCGGUUUAAGCGUGUAGGCUGGUUUUCCAGGCAAAUCCGGAAAAUCAAGGCUGAGGCGUGAUGACGAGGCACUACGGUGCUGAAGCAACAAAUGCCCUGCUUCCAGGAAAAGCCUCUAAGCAUCAGGUAACAUCAAAUCGUACCCCAAACCGACACAGGUGGUCAGGUAGAGAAUACCAAGGCGCUUGAGAGAACUCGGGUGAAGGAACUAGGCAAAAUGGUGCCGUAACUUCGGGAGAAGGCACGCUGAUAUGUAGGUGAAGCGACUUGCUCGUGGAGCUGAAAUCAGUCGAAGAUACCAGCUGGCUGCAACUGUUUAUUAAAAACACAGCACUGUGCAAACACGAAAGUGGACGUAUACGGUGUGACGCCUGCCCGGUGCCGGAAGGUUAAUUGAUGGGGUUAGCGGUAACGCGAAGCUCUUGAUCGAAGCCCCGGUAAACGGCGGCCGUAACUAUAACGGUCCUAAGGUAGCGAAAUUCCUUGUCGGGUAAGUUCCGACCUGCACGAAUGGCGUAAUGAUGGCCAGGCUGUCUCCACCCGAGACUCAGUGAAAUUGAACUCGCUGUGAAGAUGCAGUGUACCCGCGGCAAGACGGAAAGACCCCGUGAACCUUUACUAUAGCUUGACACUGAACAUUGAGCCUUGAUGUGUAGGAUAGGUGGGAGGCUUAGAAGUGUGGACGCCAGUCUGCAUGGAGCCGACCUUGAAAUACCACCCUUUAAUGUUUGAUGUUCUAACGUGGACCCGUGAUCCGGGUUGCGGACAGUGUCUGGUGGGUAGUUUGACUGGGGCGGUCUCCUCCUAAAGAGUAACGGAGGAGCACGAAGGUUGGCUAAUCCUGGUCGGACAUCAGGAGGUUAGUGCAAUGGCAUAAGCCAGCUUGACUGCGAGCGUGACGGCGCGAGCAGGUGCGAAAGCAGGUCAUAGUGAUCCGGUGGUUCUGAAUGGAAGGGCCAUCGCUCAACGGAUAAAAGGUACUCCGGGGAUAACAGGCUGAUACCGCCCAAGAGUUCAUAUCGACGGCGGUGUUUGGCACCUCGAUGUCGGCUCAUCACAUCCUGGGGCUGAAGUAGGUCCCAAGGGUAUGGCUGUUCGCCAUUUAAAGUGGUACGCGAGCUGGGUUUAGAACGUCGUGAGACAGUUCGGUCCCUAUCUGCCGUGGGCGCUGGAGAACUGAGGGGGGCUGCUCCUAGUACGAGAGGACCGGAGUGGACGCAUCACUGGUGUUCGGGUUGUCAUGCCAAUGGCACUGCCCGGUAGCUAAAUGCGGAAGAGAUAAGUGCUGAAAGCAUCUAAGCACGAAACUUGCCCCGAGAUGAGUUCUCCCUGACUCCUUGAGAGUCCUGAAGGAACGUUGAAGACGACGACGUUGAUAGGCCGGGUGUGUAAGCGCAGCGAUGCGUUGAGCUAACCGGUACUAAUGAACCGUGAGGCUUAACCUUACAACGCCGAAGCUGUU